GCCCGGUUAGCUCAAUCGGUAGAGCGUGAGACUCUUACCAGAGUACACAAUCUCAAGGUUGCGGGUUCGACCCCCGCAUCGGGCU
Molecule: transfer RNA, 85 nt
Filed under: Dactylonectria macrodidyma
Lineage: Eukaryota; Fungi; Ascomycota; Sordariomycetes; Hypocreales; Nectriaceae
Also listed under: 1 other name
Description: Ilyonectria macrodidyma tRNA
Rfam family: tRNA
About the family: Transfer RNA (tRNA) molecules are approximately 80 nucleotides in length. Their secondary structure includes four short double-helical elements and three loops (D, anti-codon, and T loops).
Source: Rfam by way of RNAcentral